CAGAAGGCCAUCAGACUGAGGCUCGUGCAUGAGGGGAUAGCAUGCUUUUACUUUCACUCUCUUUGUAUUAAAAAACUAUUUCCCGGUCGGAAUAUUAUCGCUUUUUUACGAGAAAAAUGGCAUGAAAAUUUAUUUAAACAGCGGUUGACAUGCUUCGAAGUAGGGUAAUGGAAUAUUUCGAUUUUUUUUGUCACGAAACGCGUCGUGCUCGUCACCCUUAUUUACCCUUUCGGAUAGUGUCUUGAACGCACGAACAAAACGCCGCUAUUUGGAUAUAACAAUGGAUUAUUUGGGACCAAACCAACAUUUCUUAUUGAAGUAGAAGUCCUGGGAGUGCAUUCUGACGAAGAACAGCAAAGGUGGCAAAUCGCAUCUCUGCAUGUCUGGCAGACAUAUCAGUGUGGAUGACGGAUCACCACCUCAAGCUGAACCUCGGCAAGACGGAG
Molecule: long non-coding RNA, 446 nt
Filed under: Salmo salar (Atlantic salmon)
Lineage: Eukaryota; Metazoa; Chordata; Actinopteri; Salmoniformes; Salmonidae
Description: lncRNA (ENSSSAG00000106225.1)
Source: RNAcentral